UACGGGGGGGGCAAGCGUUGUUCGGAAUUACUGGGCGUAAAGGGCUCGUAGGCGGCCAACUAAGUCAGACGUGAAAUCCCCAGGCUCAACCUGGGAACUGCGUCUGAUACUGGUUGGCUUGAAUCCGGGAGAGGGAUGCAGAAUUCCAGGUGUAGCGGUGAAAUGCGUAGAUAUCUGGAGGAACACCGGUGGCGAAGGCGGCAUUCUGGACUACAACUGACACUGAGGAACGAAAGCCAGGGGAGCAAACGGG
This 253-nucleotide ribosomal RNA is filed under the name uncultured bacterium. RNAcentral describes it as "partial 16S ribosomal RNA". It matches the Rfam family "Bacterial small subunit ribosomal RNA", at positions 524 to 776 of the family's 1533-position model. The record is from RNAcentral.